This 497-nucleotide ribosomal RNA is filed under the name uncultured bacterium. RNAcentral describes it as "partial 16S ribosomal RNA". It matches the Rfam family "Bacterial small subunit ribosomal RNA", at positions 28 to 507 of the family's 1533-position model. The record is from RNAcentral.
GAUGAACGCUGGCGGCGUGCCUAAUACAUGCAAGUCGAGCGAACAGACGAGGAGCUUGCUCCUUCGACGUUAGCGGCGGACGGGUGAGUAACACGUAGGUAACCUACCUAUAAGACUGGGAUAACUUCGGGAAACCGGAGCUAAUACCGGAUAAUAUUUCGAACCGCAUGGUUCGAUAGUGAAAGAUGGCUUUGCUAUCACUUAUAGAUGGACCUGCGCCGUAUUAGCUAGUUGGUAAGGUAACGGCUUACCAAGGCAACGAUACGUAGCCGACCUGAGAGGGUGAUCGGCCACACUGGAACUGAGACACGGUCCAGACUCCUACGGGAGGCAGCAGUAGGGAAUCUUCCGCAAAGGGCGAAAGCCUGACGGAGCAACGCCGCGUGAGUGAUGGAGGUCUUCGGAUCGUAAAACUCUGUUAUUAGGGAAGAACAAACGUGUAAGUAACUGUGCACGUCUUGACGGUACCUAAUCAGAAAGCCACGGCUAACUACGUG